CAGAAUUAAAUACACAGAAAAUUUAUUGGGGGAAACACCUGGGAGACAGAUGGAGCUGGGGCAUGGAGCUGGGGCUCAGGGCCAAGGUUUUGAUCAGUUUCACAGUGUGCCACACUGAACGCAGCCGCGCAGGAGAUGAACACAGCCGUGUCUUAAAGGAACCGGGAAAAGCGCUGUUUCAGAGGACACAGAGAGGCAGAGGUGGAAAAACAUGUCAUUCCAGAUACAAGCAGAGAAGAAUGCGUUAUUGAUGCAGUGCAAUUUAAACCAGCCCUCAGAAAACCCUGCAUCCAACCCAUGAGGAGUGACUAGGAUAAACCAACCUUCUCCUCAGGCCCCGAGGGAGCGCAGCCACUUCUGCGCUCUGGCCACACGCCUGGAGCUUCCCGCAGGCCUGGCCUCCCACAGGCAGGGGUGUCCUCCCCAGGAGCUGUGAUGUCUGCCUGCCGGGAGGGGUCCCCUGGCUGGGCCUCCCCUCAGGCCCCUGUAGUCUCUCGAUGGAGGAAGCCGAAGACAUUGUGGAUUGAAGA
Long non-coding RNA from Jaculus jaculus (lesser Egyptian jerboa), 530 nucleotides. RefSeq lists it as uncharacterized. The record is from RefSeq and is a predicted model, not a curated record. NCBI's taxonomy places the organism in Eukaryota, Metazoa, Chordata, Mammalia, Rodentia, Dipodidae. The transcript is spliced from 3 exons.